GUGCCAGCCGCCGCGGUAAUACGGAGGGUGCAAGCGUUAUCCGGAAUCACUGGGUUUAAAGGGUGCGUAGGCGGCUAUGUAAGUCAGUUGUGAAAUACCUCGGCUUAACCGAAGGAAGUGCGAUUGAUACUGCGUAGCUUGAAUCAGGUUGAGGUAGGCGGAAUGUGACAUGUAGCGGUGAAAUGCUUAGAUAUGUCAUAGAACACCGAUUGCGAAGGCAGCUUACUGGGCUUUGAUUGACGCUGAGGCACGAAAGCGUGGGGAGCAAACAGGAUUAGAAACCCCGGUAGUCC
Molecule: ribosomal RNA, 293 nt
Filed under: uncultured bacterium
Lineage: Bacteria
Description: partial 16S ribosomal RNA
Rfam family: Bacterial small subunit ribosomal RNA
Source: RNAcentral